GGACCUUUAGUUCAUUGGUAGAACAGUCGCCUCAUAAGCGAAAAGUAAUAGGUUCGAUUCCUAUAAGGUCCAUCA
Molecule: transfer RNA, 75 nt
Filed under: Firmicutes bacterium AM31-12AC
Lineage: Bacteria; Bacillati; Bacillota
Description: tRNA-Met
Rfam family: tRNA
About the family: Transfer RNA (tRNA) molecules are approximately 80 nucleotides in length. Their secondary structure includes four short double-helical elements and three loops (D, anti-codon, and T loops).
Source: RNAcentral